AACGAACGCUGGCGGCAUGCCUAACACAUGCAAGUCGAACGAGAUCUUCGGGUCUAGUGGCGCACGGGUGCGUAACGCGUGGGAAUCUGCCCUUUGGUUCGGAAUAACAGUUGGAAACGACUGCUAAUACCGGAUGAUGACGAAAGUCCAAAGAUUUAUCGCCAGAGGAUGAGCCCGCGUAGGAUUAGCCAGUUGGUGUGGUAAAGGCGCACCAAGGCGACGAUCCUUAGCUGGUCUGAGAGGAUGAUCAGCCACACUGGGACUGAGACACGGCCCAGACUCCUACGGGAGGCAGCAGUGGGGAAUAUUGGACAAUGGGCGAAAGCCUGAUCCAGCAAUGCCGCGUGAGUGAUGAAGGCCUUAGGGUUGUAGAGCUCUUUUACCCGGGAUGAUAAUGACAGUACCGGGAGAAUAAGCUCCGGCUAACUCCGUGCCAGCAGCCGCAGUAA
This 449-nucleotide ribosomal RNA is filed under the name uncultured bacterium. RNAcentral's name for it is "partial 16S ribosomal RNA". It matches the Rfam family "Bacterial small subunit ribosomal RNA", at positions 29 to 523 of the family's 1533-position model. The record is from RNAcentral.